UACUGCACAGACGGAAGUUAGGUCCAGAUUUGGUCGCCUAGUCAAACCUGUGAACAGGCUCAUACAGACUAUGUCCAGGCAGGAUGUCGAUCAGAACAAGUUCGAUGUUAAAGCUGUUUGUAAAUCAAUGUUCCAGGCCUUUCCUGAUUGAUUUCUUCGCCAGCUAAACUAUAAUCUUCUUGGGUCUGACGUUUUUUUGUUUUGUCUGGACAUGAUAUUUUCAUUUUGUAUUGUGUGAUGAGCCUGUACUACACUGUGUGUUGGGGUUUUGUGGGGUGUACAAGGCACCCUGUAGGCAGUUGAUGGAUUGGGGGAUAAGCGCUACCCUCAUACCACUUCAUCCUUAUGGGAUACGUUAGUUGUCUGUGUUCUUAAUGCUGACCCCAGGUGAUCUGUGAUUUAUGUUAUUUCCGAUGAUGUAUACUGUGUGGUUGAUGCUCGUGUUCGAUAAAAUUCAGUGGGGGUGAGUGUAACAGAGUUACAAAUGUGUUUCUUUGUUAAAUUAUUAUUUCUUAUUCAUUUUAUAUUGAGAAUUUGUGAAUUUUAUCUUAUUCAGUUAUUUUUAUUUAUUUUGUUGUUUUUGCCUGCGGGGGUCGCCCUUCUGCUCUCCGCCUCGUUUGUGUUUCCUGGGCUUCCGUAGUCUAUUCUAGCCCUCGUAGCUCCUCUGCCCCCCCCUUUUUCCUCAGAGCGUUGUUCUGCGCUGCUGUGGAGUCGGAGUGCAGGGAGAAGGAGUUGAGGAGGUUGUUAAUUUGUUUUCCCUUCUUCCCCCAG
Molecule: long non-coding RNA, 771 nt
Organism: Xiphophorus hellerii (green swordtail)
Lineage: Eukaryota; Metazoa; Chordata; Actinopteri; Cyprinodontiformes; Poeciliidae
Exons: 2
Source: RefSeq, a predicted model, not a curated record